This 329-nucleotide unclassified non-coding RNA is filed under the name soil metagenome. RNAcentral describes it as "partial contains 5.8S ribosomal RNA, internal transcribed spacer 2, and large subunit ribosomal RNA". The stretch from base 1 to 120 matches the Rfam family "5.8S ribosomal RNA", at positions 35 to 154 of the family's 154-position model. The record is from RNAcentral.
GAUGAAGAACGCAGCGAAAUGCGAUAAGUAGUGUGAAUUGCAGAAUUCAGUGAAUCAUCGAAUCUUUGAACGCACAUUGCGCCCCUUGGUAUCCCGAGGGGCAUGCCUGUUCGAGCGUCAUUUCACCACUCAAGCCUGGCUUGGUGUUGGGCGACGUCCCCUUUGGGGACGCGCCUCGAAACGCUUGGCGGCGUGGCACCGGCUUUAAGCGUAGCAGAAUCUUUCGCUUUGGAAGUCGGGGCCCCGUCUGCCGGAAGACCUACUCGCAAGGUUGACCUCGGAUCAGGCAGGGAUACCCGCUGAACUUAAGCAUAUCAAUAAGCGGAGGA